UUUCAAAUGUUAUUAUUGGGCUGCACAAAUACAUAAGCACCACUGUUGCUUCCAUGCACAAAAGAAAGCUCUCUGAGAGAAAUUUGACUUCAAGAAAGGAAAUUGCCUCCAAGGAAGAACAAAAAGAAACCAAUGCCUCUCCAAAGGCUAUCACGAGGCUAGAUUGCUAACCCUCGUUAGCAAACAAGAGACCAGAAUCUGAAAACUUGCUGCAUCCUUCAGCUGCAGCCAGAAACAAGAAGAUGAUGUUCCCAACUACACAGAUUUAAGUCAAGACAAAGAGGAGAGAGAGGUGCAACAAGGACCAGCACAC
Molecule: long non-coding RNA, 313 nt
Organism: Pan paniscus (pygmy chimpanzee)
Lineage: Eukaryota; Metazoa; Chordata; Mammalia; Primates; Hominidae
Source: Ensembl